RNAcentral lists this ribosomal RNA (375 nucleotides) under Amphipoda sp. BOLD:ADF7652. RNAcentral describes it as "partial 16S ribosomal RNA". The stretch from base 57 to 375 matches the Rfam family "Bacterial large subunit ribosomal RNA", at positions 2046 to 2606 of the family's 2925-position model. The record is from RNAcentral. Lineage: Eukaryota; Metazoa; Arthropoda; Malacostraca; Amphipoda.
CUGAGCAUGAAGGUUGAACAAAGGUGGGGUUCUGUCCAGGUUUAAGCUUAAUUUAAAUUUUAAGUAAAAAUGCUUAAAUGGUUUAGGGGGACGAUAAGACCCUUAAAGCUUUAUUUGGUGUAAUAGUUUAAGUAAAAACGAAAAAUUAUCUGGGGUAGUUACUUUAUUAAAAAUUAAGGGGAGAGGCUCUAGUAAGAUUAAAGGUCCUUAAAAUUAAGAAAGGUGGAGAAAGUUACUUUAGGGAUAACAGUAUAAUUAACCCGGGGAGUUCGUAUCUAUGGGUCAGGUUAUAACCUCGAUGUUGAAUUAGGUUUAGCUGCAGGGGAGAAGAGGCAGAGAUUGGGUUUGUUCAACCCUUAGUAGUUUACAUGAUUU